AAUUAACAGAGUUUUGACCAUAUGCUAAAACAUAAAGAUUCACGGUGUUACAGCUAAUGUUCAUGGCACCCAUGUUGAGGUGUGAGGGGAACUCCUCAAUGAUACAAGUGAAAUGACAUUGUGCGAUGAAAUAUGAAGUAUGAAAGUAAAUAAAACUAUAAACCUCAAAUGGAAAACAAAAGUGAUUAAUAUGAUAUAUGU
Molecule: long non-coding RNA, 201 nt
Filed under: Carica papaya (papaya)
Lineage: Eukaryota; Viridiplantae; Streptophyta; Magnoliopsida; Brassicales; Caricaceae
Description: long non-coding RNA (CPAP_LNC013407)
Source: RNAcentral